Homo sapiens (human) is the source of this 575-nucleotide long non-coding RNA. Ensembl annotates it as MAP3K20 antisense RNA 1. Its record names the gene MAP3K20-AS1. The record is from Ensembl. NCBI's taxonomy places the organism in Eukaryota, Metazoa, Chordata, Mammalia, Primates, Hominidae.
CAGGAAGCAAGUUACAGAACCAAGGGCUCUGUUCAUAAACUGUUCAACAUCUUUUAUCACAUAAGGGGAGGUGCCCGCAACGAUGGCCUGCUGCAGAAUACAGAGUGGCUUUUUCAUGUUUGAUGGGUUGUAAGAAACAAAAAGCCAACUAUGGCAUCUAUGAAGACUAUGCAACAGAGACUAUUUAUAUUCUGGGAUAAUCUAGCAAAUGAGCUGCGCAUCAAAAUAAUGGAUUAGUGGUUUAAAAACGUGUUCACUGUUAAAAGGAAAACAUGAAAAUGAUGAAAGCUAAAAUAAUGGUCCAUCAUACAAAAGUAUAUCUUUUUACACUAUUAAAACCAACAUAAGCCAUUUAUUUUCAGUAAAUAUAAUUGGAUAACAAUCGUUAAUUUAAACUGUAUUGAUUUUAUUUUUGUUUAAUUGAAAAAUUGGUUUUGAAUUUACCUGUAUAUGAGAGUUAUAAGGAGUUAAUUCUUAGUUUUAUGUUUAUGUAUAUUUAAGUUACACAGAAAUAAUUUCAGUCAACAUGUGAAAUCUGGAAGACUAAAAUUUUCUAUAUAAAAGAUCUACACAUU